AAAGCGCGCGUAGGCGGUUACGUAAGUUGGAUGUGAAAUCCCCGGGCUCAACCUGGGAAUUGCAUUCAAAACUGCGUGGCUAGAGUGUGGGAGAGGAAGGUAGAAUUCCAGGUGUAGCGGUGAAAUGCGUAGAUAUCUGGAGGAAUACCGAUGGCGAAGGCAGCCUUCUGGCCUAACACUGACGCUGAGGUGCGAAAGCAUGGGGAGCAAACAGGAUUAGAUACCCUAGU
RNAcentral lists this ribosomal RNA (230 nucleotides) under uncultured bacterium. Its description in RNAcentral is "partial 16S ribosomal RNA". It matches the Rfam family "Bacterial small subunit ribosomal RNA", at positions 562 to 791 of the family's 1533-position model. The record is from RNAcentral.